GCAAGGCCUUGCGCUCUUUGAGCGGCCGAUGUCAGAUUAGCUAGUUGGUGAGGUAAAGGCUUACCAAGGCGACGAUCUGUAGCGGGUCUGAGAGGAUGAUCCGCCACACUGGAACUGAGACACGGUCCAGACUCCUACGGGAGGCAGCAGUGGGAAUUUGGACAAUGGGGCAACCCUGAUCCAGCCAUGCCGCGUGAGUGAAGAAGGCCUUCGGGUUGUAAAGCUCUUUCGGCCGGGAAGAAAUCGCAUGGGCCAAUACCCUGUGUGGAUGACGGUACCGGAAUAAGAAGCACCGGCUAACUACGUG
Molecule: ribosomal RNA, 307 nt
Filed under: uncultured bacterium
Lineage: Bacteria
Description: bacterial SSU rRNA
Rfam family: Bacterial small subunit ribosomal RNA
Source: RNAcentral